Molecule: non-coding RNA, 714 nt
Organism: Phascolarctos cinereus (koala)
Lineage: Eukaryota; Metazoa; Chordata; Mammalia; Diprotodontia; Phascolarctidae
Source: RefSeq, a predicted model, not a curated record
CAGGAUGUGGCUCAGUUUAUGGCUGCUGGCUCCUUAGGCCACUGGACCAACCCAGUGUCUCCAGAUGGGGUGCCCCAAAGCACCGUUUCCCAAUUCCGUCUGGGUUUACAUGAGCUCGGGCUUUGGCUGUGAAUGGAUGGUAAAAGGCUGGAGGGAAGACCUGUCAGCUGAGAGGGAAAACAGCAAGAGCUGCGUGGCGGUGGCCGAAGAGUAGGAAUCUCCCGAAAUCAUCCAUACAGGCAGGUGCGGAAUCACGUUGCCCUCCAGUGGCUGCAGCUCAUGGCGACAGCAGGAGGAAUUCUGGGGUCCCUGGCUGUCCCCUAAAGUCCGAUGUUUGUUUGAAGCCCGGCCCACCCUUGGGAGCCUGAGAACCUCCGCAGUUCUCCCCUCAGCACCUGGACAGCAGCCCAGGAGAAGGCCUCAGCUCUGCUGAGCUGUAGCUCCGCAUCAUCUCCCCCGGCAGCAAUUCCCCGCCUAACCGCUUGGUUCUGGAAAUGGGCCUCAGUGCUGCUCAUCAACCUCCCCAUCCCACUUCAUCAGGCUACCUACUACCCUAAUAUGUUACCUAUGGGAAGGGAAUCUUGCUCAAAACUUGGGACAUCUUCAUUCCUUGACUAUCAAAUUCUCCCCUUCGUGCAUUUUUAAUGGAAAUUUUAAAUGAAAAUCUGGCUUCUCUCCCUCUCUCCUCCUCACCCCACCCCCCAUGAGAAAGAA